AGAGUUUGAUCCUGGCUCAGGACGAACGCUGGCGGCGCGCUUAACACAUGCAAGUCGAGCGAGAACCGGUCCUUCGGGACCGGGGAAAGCGGCGAACGGGUGAGUAACACGUGAGUAAUCCACCCUCGGCACCGGGAUAGCCCGGGGAAACCCGGAUUAAUACCGGAUGGCCCAACGGCCUUUCGAGGCGGUUGGAAAAGGUAGCCCUUUGGGCCUCCGGCCGAGGACGAGCUCGCGGCGGAUUAGCUUGUUGGUGGGGUAACGGCCUACCAAGGCGACGAUCCGUAGCUGGUCUGAGAGGACGAUCAGCCACACUGGGACUGAGACACGGCCCAGACUCCUACGGGAGGCAGCAGUGGGGAAUCUUGCGCAAUGGGCGAAAGCCUGACGCAGCGACGCCGCGUGAGGGAAGAAGGCUUUCGGGUUGUAAACCUCUUUCAGGAGGGACGAAGCUACUCGGGUGAAUAGCCCAGAGGGUGACGGUACCUCCAGAAGAAGCCCCGGCUAACUACGUGCCAGCCGCCGCGGUAAUUC
This 534-nucleotide ribosomal RNA is filed under the name uncultured bacterium. Its description in RNAcentral is "bacterial SSU rRNA". It matches the Rfam family "Bacterial small subunit ribosomal RNA", at positions 8 to 526 of the family's 1533-position model. The record is from RNAcentral.